RNAcentral lists this ribosomal RNA (445 nucleotides) under uncultured bacterium. RNAcentral's name for it is "partial 16S ribosomal RNA". It matches the Rfam family "Bacterial small subunit ribosomal RNA", at positions 354 to 796 of the family's 1533-position model. The record is from RNAcentral.
GUGAGGAAUAUUGGACAAUGGGCGCAAGCCUGAUCCAGCCAUGCCGCGUGCAGGAAGACGCAUCUAUGGUGUGUAAACUGCUUUUGUACGGGAAGAAACACUCCCUCGUGAGGGAGCUUGACGGUACCGUAAGAAUAAGGAUCGGCUAACUCCGUGCCAGCAGCCGCGGUAAUACGGAGGAUCCAAGCGUUAUCCGGAAUCAUUGGGUUUAAAGGGUCCGUAGGCGGUUUAAUAAGUCAGUGGUGAAAGCCCAUCGCUCAACGAUGGAACGGCCAUAGAUACUGUUAGACUUGAAUUACAAGGAAGUAACUAGAAUAUGUAGUGUAGCGGUGAAAUGCUUAGAUAUUACAUGGAAUACCAAUUGCGAAGGCAGGUUACUACUUGUGGAUUGACGCUGAUGGACGAAAGCGUGGGGAGCGAACAGGAUUAGAAACCCCAGUAGUCC